Molecule: non-coding RNA, 418 nt
Organism: Salvelinus sp. IW2-2015
Lineage: Eukaryota; Metazoa; Chordata; Actinopteri; Salmoniformes; Salmonidae
Source: RefSeq, a predicted model, not a curated record
UUUGCUAAAAGUAUUAUAUUAUUGAUCAAUUGACUAUGUGUAAUGAACACGAAGGGAGACGGAGCUGGUUUCAAGCGCAGGCGCAGCAGCAAGUGGAACAGAAGACUGAGGGGAAGGAGACAUCACACAGACCAUCCAAGAUCCCAACGGAGCGGAGAGGUCAGCACUAUUGACACAGACUCAUCCAAGAUCCCAACGAGUGGAGAGGUAGCACUAUUGACACGACUCAUCCAAGAUCCAACGAAGCGAGAGGUCAGCACUAUUGACACAGACUCAUCCAAGAUCCAACGGAGCAGAGAGGUCAGCACUAUUGACACAGACUCAUCCAAGAUCCCAACGGAGCAGAGAGUCAGCACUAUUGACAGACUCAUCCAAGAUCCCAACGGAGCAGAGAGUCAGCACUAUUGACAGACUCAUC